GAUGAAGAACGCAGCGAAAUGCGAUAAGUAAUGUGAAUUGCAGAAUUCAGUGAAUCAUCGAAUCUUUGAACGCACAUUGCGCCCCCUGGUAUUCCGGGGGGCAUGCCUGUCCGAGCGUCAUUACAACCCUCAAGCUCAGCUUGGUGUUGGGCCCCGCCGCCCCGGCGGGCCCUAAAGUCAGUGGCGGUGCCGUCCGGCUCCGAGCGUAGUAAUUCUUCUCGCUCUGGAGGUCCGGUCGUGUGCUCGCCAGCAACCCCCAAUUUUUUUCAGGUUGACCUCGGAUCAGGCAGGGAUACCCGCUGAACUUAAGCAUAUCAAUAAGCGGAGGA
This 329-nucleotide unclassified non-coding RNA is filed under the name soil metagenome. RNAcentral's name for it is "partial contains 5.8S ribosomal RNA, internal transcribed spacer 2, and large subunit ribosomal RNA". The stretch from base 1 to 120 matches the Rfam family "5.8S ribosomal RNA", at positions 35 to 154 of the family's 154-position model. The record is from RNAcentral.